UCUCUUUUUCUUUGCUUUGUUUUCCUUUUGUAAAUGGCCUCUUCCUCAUCCCCUGUUUCCUUUUUCUCAAAAAUUUCUUGAAUCUUCGGGUAAUGAGUGCCAUCUCUUCAUCCUGUUCUUCAUCUUCAGUGUCAUCAGUUUCUUCAUCUGGUGGAGCUGUUGAUUUGAGGGCAAUGGUUCUUUUCUUUUUGACUUCUUCCUCUUGAUGUUGCUUCAUGCUCAGCUCAUGGGUCAUCAAUGAUCCUAGAAGCUCUUCCAAGGGUAGAAUGUUCAAGUCCUUAGCUUCUUAGAUGGCAGUCACUUUGGCUUUCCAAGUUCUUGGUAAGGACCUGAGAAUCUUUCUUACAAGCUCACUGUUAGNNN
This 363-nucleotide long non-coding RNA is filed under the name Elaeis guineensis (African oil palm). Its description in RNAcentral is "long non-coding RNA (EGUI_LNC012789)". The record is from RNAcentral. Lineage: Eukaryota; Viridiplantae; Streptophyta; Magnoliopsida; Arecales; Arecaceae.